AAUCAACGCUGGCGGCGUGCCUCAGACAUGCAAGUCGAACGAUUAAAGCUCUCUUCGGAGAGUGUAUAAAGUGGCGCACGGGUGAGUAACACGUAAGUAAUCUACCUUCGAGUGGGGAAUAACGUCCGGAAACGGACGCUAAUACCGCAUAACGCAGCGGCAUCGCAAGAUGACAGUUGUUAAAGAUUUAUCGCUUGAAGAGGAGCUUGCGGCAGAUUAGCUUGUUGGUAAGGUAACGGCUUACCAAGGCUACGAUCUGUAUCCGGUCUAAGAGGACGGUCGGACACACUGACACUGAAUAACGGGUCAGACUCCUACGGGAGGCAGCAGUCGGGAAUUUUGGGCAAUGGGGGAAACCCUGACCCAGCAACGCCGCGUGAAGGAUGAAGUAUUUCGGUAUGUAAACUUCGAAAGAAUAGGAAGAAUUAAUGACGGUACUAUUUAUAAGGUCCGGCUAACUACGUGCCAGCAGCCGCAGUAAC
RNAcentral lists this ribosomal RNA (482 nucleotides) under uncultured bacterium. Its description in RNAcentral is "bacterial SSU rRNA". It matches the Rfam family "Bacterial small subunit ribosomal RNA", at positions 32 to 524 of the family's 1533-position model. The record is from RNAcentral.